This 372-nucleotide ribosomal RNA is filed under the name Phomopsis sp. 3 UFMGCB 4761. Its description in RNAcentral is "eukaryotic LSU rRNA". The stretch from base 41 to 194 matches the Rfam family "5.8S ribosomal RNA". Lineage: Eukaryota; Fungi; Ascomycota; Sordariomycetes; Diaporthales; Diaporthaceae. The record is from RNAcentral.
UACACUGGAAAACUCUGAGAAAAAAACAUAAAUAAAUCAAAACUUUCAACAACGGAUCUCUUGGUUCUGGCAUCGAUGAAGAACGCAGCGAAAUGCGAUAAGUAAUGUGAAUUGCAGAAUUCAGUGAAUCAUCGAAUCUUUGAACGCACAUUGCGCCCUCUGGUAUUCCGGAGGGCAUGCCUGUUCGAGCGUCAUUUCAACCCUCAAGCCUGGCUUGGUGAUGGGGCACUGCCUGUAAAAGGGCAGGACCUGAAAAUCUAGUGGCGAGCUCGCCAGGACCCCGAGCGUAGUAGUUAUAUCUCGCUUUGGAAGGCCCUGGCGGUGCCCUGCCGUUAAACCCCAAGUUCUGAAAAUUUGACCUCGGAUCAGGUA